GACCUGAUUCCACAGCUGGUAGUGCGUCUGCUCAAAAUGCAAGAAUGGUUGACCGAUUUAGUUCGACUCGGGGUCGGGUCG
Non-coding RNA from Mycena metata, 81 nucleotides. NCBI's taxonomy places the organism in Eukaryota, Fungi, Basidiomycota, Agaricomycetes, Agaricales, Mycenaceae. The record is from the annotation of a GenBank genome assembly.